RNAcentral lists this small RNA (554 nucleotides) under Drosophila pseudoobscura pseudoobscura. RNAcentral's name for it is "GA30697". The record is from RNAcentral. Lineage: Eukaryota; Metazoa; Arthropoda; Insecta; Diptera; Drosophilidae.
CCUUCGAAUUAAAUUAAGAAAAUGUUCAGCGUCUGCAAGUGGUCCAUUCCACUUUAAAUGGAAAUUCUCAGCCAGCGUUUGCUCUUGCUGCUGCUCGUAGAAGAUAAUGGAAUCCCCACCUAUGGAUAUGUGAGUAUUUGUGAAUAAAGUAUCAACCUCGAUCUAUGAUGAUCGAUGGGACCACUGCCCCCAAUGGUACGCCAGCAACGAUUCUUCUGAUACUUCGGACCCGCAGCCACCGCCUCGACUAAUAAGAACAAUUUGCAAAGGCCGAGCCGGUGUACACAACCGUGACGACUGAUGAUCUGGCCAUAAUCGUAUGGGACAAUGUGACAAGUAAGCAAGAAAAGCUAUGCGCCUAAUUCGAACUAAAAUCGAUGUCAAUCAAUUGCAUUUGUGGAUGAUCAAUGGCCAUAUGGGCGAUUGAGUUUCGGUGUUAAAGACCCCAUUCGAAGCGAUUUCGAUUUAAUCUUGGAUUGGAUUUAGUUUUCUAACUUUCCUUGAUGAAAUCCAAUAUUAUUUAAUCAGCCAAAAUAUCUUCAACGGCUCAGGUA